RNAcentral lists this ribosomal RNA (119 nucleotides) under Rhinopithecus bieti (black snub-nosed monkey). Lineage: Eukaryota; Metazoa; Chordata; Mammalia; Primates; Cercopithecidae. The record is from RNAcentral.
GUGUAGGGCCAUACCACCCUGAAGGCGCUUGAUCUCGUCUGAUCUCAGAAGCUUAGCAGGGUCGGGCCCAUUUAGUACUUGGAUGGGAGACCGCCUGGAAAAACUGGGCACUAUAGGUU